GAUGAACGCUGGCGGCGUGCUUAACACAUGCAAGUCGAACGGAAAGGCCCGGAGUUUGUGGGGUGCUCGAGUGGCGAACGGGUGUGUAACACGUGAGUAACCUGCCCUUAACUGUGGGAUAACUUCAGGGAACUGCGGCGAAUACCGCGUAGGAGCUCCUGCUGCAUGUGGGGGGUUGGAAAGAUUCGGCGGUUUGGGAUGGACUCGCGGCUUAUCAGCUUGUUGGUGGGGUAGUGGCUUACCACGGCUGUGAAGGGUAGCCGGCAUGGGAGGGGGAACGGGGACCUGGGGACUGAGAGACGGAGCAGAAGCGAAUGGGCCGCAGCAGUGGGAAGCAUUGCGCAAUGAGGGGAAGCCAGAUGCGGCAGCGCCGCGUGCGGGAUGCUGGCUUUCGGGGGGUAAACCGAUUUGUAAUGUACUGAAGCCUGCGUGACGGUAACGGGUAAAGAAGCACCGGCUAACUACGUG
Molecule: ribosomal RNA, 468 nt
Filed under: uncultured bacterium
Lineage: Bacteria
Description: partial 16S ribosomal RNA
Rfam family: Bacterial small subunit ribosomal RNA
Source: RNAcentral